AAUACCGCAUAAGCGCACAGAGCCGCAUGGCUCAGUGUGAAAAACUCCGGUGGUGUAAGAUGGAUCCGCGUCUGAUUAGCUGGUUGGCGGGGUAGAAGCCCACCAAGGCGACGAUCAGUAGCCGGCCUGAGAGGGUGAACGGCCACAUUGGGACUGAGACACGGCCCAAACUCCUACGGGAGGCAGCAGUGGGGAAUAUUGCACAAUGGGGGAAACCCUGAUGCAGCAACGCCGCGUGAGUGAAGAAGUCAUUCGUGAUGUAAAGCUCUAUCAGCAGGGAAGAAAAUGACGGUACCUGAGUAAGAAGCCCCGGCUAACUACGUGCCGGCAGCCGCGGUAAUACGUAGGGGGCAAGCGUUAUCCGGAUUUACUGGGUGUAAAGGGAGCGUAGACGGCCAGACAAGUCUGAAGUGAAAAUCCAGCGCUUAACGUUGGAAGUGCUUUGGAAACUGCCGGGCUAGAGUGCAGGAGGGGCAGGCGGAAUUCCUAGUGUAGCGGUGAAAUGCGUAGAUAUUAGGAGGAACACCAGUGGCGAAGGCGGCCUGCUGGACUGCAACUGACGUUGAGGCUCGAAGGCGUGGGGAGCAAACAGGAUUAGAUACCCUGGUAGUCCACGCGGUAAACGAUGAUUACUAGGUGUCGGGGGGCUAGAGCCCUUCGGUGCCGUCGC
Molecule: ribosomal RNA, 670 nt
Filed under: uncultured bacterium
Lineage: Bacteria
Description: bacterial SSU rRNA
Rfam family: Bacterial small subunit ribosomal RNA
Source: RNAcentral